UACGGGGGGCAGCAGUGGGGAAUAUUGGACAAUGGGGGAAACCCUGAUCCAGCGACGCCGCGUGUGUGAAGAAGGCUUGCGGGUUGUAAAGCACUUUUAGUGGGGAUGAAAAGCUCAGGGAUAACACCUCUGGGUCUUGACCUAACCCACAGAAAAAGCACCGGCUAACUCUGUGCCAGCAGCCGCGGUAAUACAGAGGGUGCGAGCGUUAAUCGGAAUUACUGGGCGUAAAGCGUGCGUAGACGGUUACGUAAGUCGGGUGUGAAAGCCCCGGGCUCAACCUGGGAAUUGCAUUCGAGACUGCAUAGCUAGGGUGCGGAAGAGGGAAGCGGAAUUUCCGGUGUAGCGGUGAAAUGCGUAGAUAUCGGAAGGAACACCAGUGGCGAAAGCGGCUUCCUGGUCCAGCACCGACGUUCAGGCACGAAAGCGUGGGGAGCAAACAGGAUUAGAUACCCCAGUAGUCAUCUUUCUAGA
Molecule: ribosomal RNA, 474 nt
Filed under: uncultured Gammaproteobacteria bacterium
Lineage: Bacteria; Pseudomonadati; Pseudomonadota; Gammaproteobacteria
Description: bacterial SSU rRNA
Rfam family: Bacterial small subunit ribosomal RNA
Source: RNAcentral